RNAcentral lists this ribosomal RNA (676 nucleotides) under uncultured Alphaproteobacteria bacterium. RNAcentral's name for it is "bacterial SSU rRNA". It matches the Rfam family "Bacterial small subunit ribosomal RNA", at positions 62 to 784 of the family's 1533-position model. Lineage: Bacteria; Pseudomonadati; Pseudomonadota; Alphaproteobacteria. The record is from RNAcentral.
UCGAACGAAGUAGCAAUACUUAGUGGCAGACGGGUGAGUAACAUGUAGGUAUCUGCCCUUUGGCCUGGAAUAACACGAGGAAACUUGUGCUAAUACCGGAUAAGUUUUUACGGAGAAAGCUUUAUGCACCAUUGGAUGAGCCUGCACUUGAUUAGUUUGUUGGUGGGGUAAUGGCCUACCAAGACUGUGAUCAAUAGCUGAUUUGAGAGGAUGAUCAGCCACAUUGGGACUGAGACACGGCCCAAACACCUACGGGAGGCAGCAGUGGGGAAUCUUGCACAAUGGAGGAAACUCUGAUGCAGCGAUGCGCGUGAGUGAAGAAGGCCUUUGGGUUGUAAAGCUCUUUCGUCGGGGAAGAAAAUGACUGUACCCGAAUAAGAAGGUCCGGCUAACUUCGUGCCAGCAGCCGCGGUAAUACGAAGGGACCUAGCGUAGUUCGGAAUUACUGGGCUUAAGGAGUUCGUAGGUGGUUGAAAAAGUUGGUGGUGAAAUCCCAGAGCUUAACUCUGGAACUGCCAUCAAAACUUUUCAGCUAGAGUUUGAUAGAGGAAAGCAGAAUUUCUAGUGUAGAGGUGAAAUUCGUAGAUAUUAGAAAGAAUACCAAUUGCGAAGGCAGCUUUCUGGAUCAUUACUGACACUGAGGAACGAAAGCAUGGGUAGCGAAGAGGAUUAGAUA